AGAAACUUAAGUUAUAUUUUAAACUAGAGGCCUUCAAAGCCCCCAAAAAAGACCACUUUAGUUUCUG
Molecule: transfer RNA, 67 nt
Filed under: Gonyosoma frenatum
Lineage: Eukaryota; Metazoa; Chordata; Lepidosauria; Squamata; Colubridae
Description: tRNA-Trp
Source: RNAcentral